GCCAGGCGUAGUGGCGCAUGCCUGUAAUCCCAGUCACUCAGGAGGCUGAGGCAGGAGAAUUGCUUGAGCCCGGGAGGCAGAGGUUGUAGUGAGCAGAGAUCAUGCCACUGCACUCCAGCCUGGGUGAUAGAGCAAGACUCUGUCUCAA
This 148-nucleotide small RNA is filed under the name Papio anubis (olive baboon). RNAcentral describes it as "Metazoan signal recognition particle RNA (ENSPANG00000045012.1)". Lineage: Eukaryota; Metazoa; Chordata; Mammalia; Primates; Cercopithecidae. The record is from Rfam by way of RNAcentral.